This 492-nucleotide ribosomal RNA is filed under the name uncultured bacterium. Its description in RNAcentral is "partial 16S ribosomal RNA". It matches the Rfam family "Bacterial small subunit ribosomal RNA", at positions 29 to 507 of the family's 1533-position model. The record is from RNAcentral.
AGUGAACGCUGGCGGUAGGCCUAACACAUGCAAGUCGAACGGCAGCACAGUAAGAGCUUGCUCUUACGGGUGGCGAGUGGCGGACGGGUGCGGAAUACAUCGGAAUCUACUUUUUCGUGGGGGAUAACGUAGGGAAACUUACGCUAAUACCGCAUACGACCUACGGGUGAAAGCAGGGGAUCUUCCGACCUUGCGCGAUUGAAUGAGCCGAUGUCGGAUUAGCUAGUUGGCGGGGUAAAGGCCCACCAAGGCGACGAUCCGUAGCUGGUCUGAGAGGAUGAUCAGCCACACUGGAACUGAGACACGGUCCAGACUCCUACGGGAGGCAGCAGUGGGGAAUAUUGGACAAUGGGCGCAAGCCUGAUCCAGCCAUACCGCGUGGGUGAAGAAGGCCUUCGGGUUGUAAAGCCCUUUUGUUGGGAAAGAAAAGCAGCAGGUUAAUACCCCGCUGUUCUGACGGUACCCAAAGAAUAAGCACCGGCUAACUUCGUG